RNAcentral lists this ribosomal RNA (423 nucleotides) under uncultured Nitrosospira sp. RNAcentral's name for it is "bacterial SSU rRNA". It matches the Rfam family "Bacterial small subunit ribosomal RNA", at positions 207 to 622 of the family's 1533-position model. Lineage: Bacteria; Pseudomonadati; Pseudomonadota; Betaproteobacteria; Nitrosomonadales; Nitrosomonadaceae. The record is from RNAcentral.
CAAGACUUGCGCUCUUGGAGCGGCCGAUGUCUGAUUAGCUAGUUGGUGAGGUAAUGGCUUACCAAGGCGACGAUCAGUAGCUGGUCUGAGAGGACGACCAGCCACACUGGGACUGAGACACGGCCCAGACUCCUACGGGAGGCAGCAGUGGGGAAUUUUGGACAAUGGGGGAAACCCUGAUCCAGCCAUGCCGCGUGAGUGAAGAAGGCCUUCGGGUUGUAAAGCUCUUUCAGCCGGAACGAAACGGUCACGGCUAAUAUCCGUGACUACUGACGGUACCGGAAGAAGAAGCACCGGCUAACUACGUGCCAGCAGCCGCGGUAAUACGUAGGGUGCGAGCGUUAAUCGGAAUUACUGGGCGUAAAGCGUGCGCAGGCGGUUUUGUAAGUCAGAUGUGAAAGCCCCGGGCUUAACCUGGGAACU